This 492-nucleotide ribosomal RNA is filed under the name uncultured bacterium. RNAcentral's name for it is "partial 16S ribosomal RNA". It matches the Rfam family "Bacterial small subunit ribosomal RNA", at positions 29 to 507 of the family's 1533-position model. The record is from RNAcentral.
AGUGAACGCUGGCGGCAGGCCUAACACAUGCAAGUCGAACGGCAGCACAGUAAGAGCUUGCUCUUACGGGUGGCGAGUGGCGGACGGGUGAGGAAUACAUCGGAAUCUACUUUUUCGUGGGGGAUAACGUAGGGAAACUUACGCUAAUACCGCAUACGACCUACGGGUGAAAGCAGGGGAUCUUCGGACCUUGCGCGAUUGAAUGAGCCGAUGUCGGAUUAGCUAGUUGGCGGGGUAAAGGCCCACCAAGGCGACGAUCCGUAGCUGGUCUGAGAGGAUGAUAGGCCACACUGGAACUGAGACACGGUCCAGACUCCUACGGGAGGCAGCAGUGGGGAAUAUUGGACAAUGGGCGCAAGCCUGAUCCAGCCAUACCGCGUGGGUGAAGAAGGCCUUCGGGUUGUAAAGCCCUUUUGUUGGGAAAGAAAAGCAGCAGGUUAAUACCCCGCUGUUCUGGCGGUACCCAAAGAAUAAGCACCGGCUAACUUCGUG